GCCAGGGCGUUAUCCCACUGUGCCACAGUGCCAGCUCCUGUAAUUUUUUUUUUUUUUAAAUCAGUGAUUUCAAGGAGGUCAGAAGCCCAGCCAAACUUAUAUUAAAAAAGCAAUCAAAUCAGAGUUUGUUCAGAAGAGGUGGAGAGAGGCUAGUUGAAGCUGAAGCCUUUCUUCUUUCAUGCUUCCCUCCCUCCUUCCCUCCUCCUCCUCCUUUGCUGUCUCCUGCAGUGUUUUCCUCUUGUGCAGUGUGAAAUCGGAAUGAGGGCAGGUUGGGGUGUUAUAAAGGACUGUAGUAGAAGGUCCCCUGCCUGCUUCCUGCCAAAUAAAACUGCAUGCAAGGAAGGUGCUUUGAGACACAGCAGGUUUUGAAUUCACAGCCAUCAGCGUCCAUACACAUUCCAAACCGACAAUGCCUGCAUUCCACCCAACCAGGAUUCAGGCCUUAGACCCUGCAAGGAAACCGGAGGCCUUUGUUGGUUCAUUCAUCCAUUCACUCGCUCACAGCCAGCUGCAUGCCGGAUUCGCAAAGGUGGAAAAGUCUCUCAUGUAGAAGAGACAGACAACACACAGUAAAAGAGAAGGCAUUUGCUAGUGUCGCUGAGAAAUAACCAGCAUUAACAGACGCACUCAGCCCCACGGCCUUCCCACCGCUCUACAGGUCUCCUCCACGCCUCCAUACUGGACCGGGCACAGCUAGGAAUGGAGGCGUUGGAGAUAUGAGUUCUAGCUGGGUAGUGUGAAGACAGGGCACUGCCAUACUGGGAGCGCUUGGCCUAAAUGAAUCCUCCCACAGCCACCGAGACAAUAGCAUACCCCCAUUUCACAGGUGAACAGACUGAAGCUUUGCCUGGGAAACAUGCAAGCAGGAAGGUAAACCCAGGUCCUCUGCCUUUCUGGCCCAGCCUGGCCUUUUGAACCUCUUCGAUGGCAAGAAUGGCAAUGUGACGAGGCGAAGGUGGUUUGUAGUGAAUAAGAGACCAAGCAUCUGACACCGACCCAGAGUGAGAUAGAAAGUUCUGGGUAGCAUCGGUGUAGGAAAGCUUCCAAAAGUCUGGCUGAGAGCGCCGAGGGCACACGAGACAGGGGCUGUGAAGGAGUGGAUGGAUUCUUCACUCUGGUGGACACACAGGUCUGCUUCCUUAUUCUGCUUGCUUCUGACGAGCCCUUCCCUACUCCCAGGAGACUCAGCGCUGUGUGCUGGCUUUUGGAUUCCAGUGGAAGAUCCUCCCAGCAAUCCCCGCGACAGCAAGGGCCUCCAGACUCCAACAGCUGGGGUGAAAGUGCUCCUUGGCUGAGGAGGCGUGAUGAGGAAACCAAGGCUCUUGGAGACUGGGCAAUCUGUUUGAAGAUCGCAACAGCUGAGAAAAUGUGGAACCAGGAUUCACUCUCAGGUCUGUCUCACUCGAGGGGCCUCCUGUCCUCUUCACACUCUGUUGGAGCUAUAAGGCACGGGAUGGUCACAUGCGUUAAAUGCUCACGAAGACGUAGGUUCUAGCAAUAGAAUGGAAGAGUGGGUGUAGGAUAGGACUGGCUUCUCGGGUGUGUUUCCUCUCGGUUUGCACUGAAAGUGGCCUUCAGGUUUGGAUUUGAAAUGGGAAGGAAGUCUACCUCCUCCAGUGAAGAUUAAAGAAAAGCUAUGAGGCUUGGCAACAUGGCUGAUAUCCUGGCAACCAUUCAUCUGGGCUCAACAGGGAGGAAUGAUGGCCUGGAGCCGCGGGGCAUGAGAAGAGCCAGUCUGGCUCCCUGUGCACCACCAGUUCUUUCUACGUCAACUUUGGCUCCUGUUGGCACCUGGGUUUCUUUCAUCUACAACAUAAGAGAGAGGAUAAUUUGUUCAGUGGUUGCCUUGGAGGUUAAACAAGAAAUGUAGGUGAAUGCAUUGGGCUGAGACAUGUUUAGAUGAAGGCUAAUGAAGCAGACUUUUAGGGAAGCCACGUAUGAGGCACUGGCAGUGUCCUGGGGUUGAGUGGUAUGUAAUGUGCAGCCAGCGCCUGUUCCGGAUGGUGUUCUGGAAAAAACAGAUGUGAUAAUGGCAGCCAGAACAGGCUCUAGUGGAAGGAGUGACCACCUAGAGACGGGCUGGAGAAUCAGCCAUAGAGGCC
Non-coding RNA from Oryctolagus cuniculus (rabbit), 2102 nucleotides. The record is from RefSeq and is a predicted model, not a curated record. NCBI's taxonomy places the organism in Eukaryota, Metazoa, Chordata, Mammalia, Lagomorpha, Leporidae.